AAAUAAGAAGUAAAAUAUUACAUUUAGUUUCGACCUAAAAGUUUGGUGUUUAAACACCCUUAUUUA
RNAcentral lists this transfer RNA (66 nucleotides) under Agonum muelleri. RNAcentral's name for it is "tRNA-Arg". The record is from RNAcentral. Lineage: Eukaryota; Metazoa; Arthropoda; Insecta; Coleoptera; Carabidae.